This 405-nucleotide ribosomal RNA is filed under the name uncultured bacterium. RNAcentral describes it as "bacterial SSU rRNA". It matches the Rfam family "Bacterial small subunit ribosomal RNA", at positions 355 to 774 of the family's 1533-position model. The record is from RNAcentral.
UGGGGAAUAUUGCACAAUGGGGGAAACCCUGAUGCAGCGACGCCGCGUGAGGGAAGACGGUUUUCGGAUUGUAAACCUCUGUCUUCAGGGACGAAACAAAUGACGGUACCUGAGGAGGAAGCCACGGCUAACUACGUGCCAGCAGCCGCGGUAAUACGAAGGGGGCAAGCGUUGUUCGGAAUUACUGGGCGUAAAGCGCACGCAGGCGGCGUGACGCGUCAGAAGUGAAAUCCCCGGGCUCAACCUGGGAACUGCUUUUGAAACUGGCAGACUUGAGUGUCGGAGAGGGUGGCGGAAUUCCAGGUGUAGGAGUGAAAUCCGUAGAUAUCUGGAGGAACACCGGUGGCGAAGGCGGCCACCUGGACGAUAACUGACGCUGAGGUGCGAAAGCGUGGGUAGCAAACA